CCUACGGGCGGCAGCAGUGGGGAAUUUUGGACAAUGGGCGCAAGCCUGAUCCAGCUAUUCCGCGUGUGGGAAGACGGCCUUCGGGUUGUAAACCACUUUUGUAGAGAACGAAAAGUCUAUUGAUAAUACCGAUAGAUGAUGACGGUACUCUAAGAAUAAGCACCGGCUAACUACGUGCCAGCAGCCGCGGUAAUACGUAGGGUGCGAGCGUUAAUCGGAAUUACUGGGCGUAAAGGGUGUGCAGGCGGUGUUGCAAGAUGGAUGUGAAAGCCCCGGGCUUAACCUGGGAAAGCCAUACAUGACUGCAAGACUAGAGUGCGUCAGAGGGGGGUGGAAUUCCAAGUGUAGCAGUGAAAUGCGUAGAUAUUUGGAAGAACACCGAUGGCGAAGGCAGCCCCCUGGGACGCAACUGACGCUCAUACACGAAAGCGUGGGGAGCAAACAGGAUUAGAUACCCUUGUAGUC
This 465-nucleotide ribosomal RNA is filed under the name uncultured bacterium. RNAcentral's name for it is "partial 16S ribosomal RNA". It matches the Rfam family "Bacterial small subunit ribosomal RNA", at positions 338 to 795 of the family's 1533-position model. The record is from RNAcentral.